GCCGGAUUAGCUCAGUUGGUAGAGCAACUGAUUUGUAAUCAGUGGGUCGGGAGUUCGAGUCUCUCAUCCGGCA
Non-coding RNA from Stylophora pistillata, 73 nucleotides. NCBI's taxonomy places the organism in Eukaryota, Metazoa, Cnidaria, Anthozoa, Scleractinia, Pocilloporidae. The record is from the annotation of a RefSeq genome assembly.